GACGAACGCUGGCGGCGUGCCUAAUACAUGCAAGUAGAACGCUGAAGGAGGAUCUUGCUUCUCGGGAUGAGUUGCGAACGGGUGAGUAACGCGUAUGUAACCUGCCUGGUAGCGGGGGAUAACUAUUGGAAACGAUAGCUAAUACCGCAUAAUAGUAGAUGUUGCAUGACAUUUACUUAAAAGGAGCAAUUGAAUCACUACCAGAUGGACCAGCGUUGUAUUAGCUAGUUGGUGGGGUAACGGCUCACCAAGGCGACGAUACAUAGCCGGCCUGAGAGGGGGAUCGGCCACACUGGGAAUGAGACAAGGCCCAGACUCCUACGGGAGGCAGCAGUAGGGAAUCUUCGGCCAUGGACGACAGUCUGACCGAGCAACGGCGCGUGAGUGAAGAAGGUUUUCGGAUCGUAAAGAUCUGUUGUAAGAGGAGAACGAGUGUGAGAGUGAAAAGUUCACACUGUGACGGUAUCUUACCAGAAAGGGACGGCUAACUACGUG
This 495-nucleotide ribosomal RNA is filed under the name uncultured bacterium. Its description in RNAcentral is "partial 16S ribosomal RNA". It matches the Rfam family "Bacterial small subunit ribosomal RNA", at positions 28 to 507 of the family's 1533-position model. The record is from RNAcentral.